AGGAAUAUUGGUCAAUGGACGAGAGUCUGAACCAGCCAAGUAGCGUGAAGGAUGAAGGUCCUACGGAUUGUAAACUUCUUUUAUAAGGGAAUAAACCCUCCCACGUGUGGGAGCUUGUAUGUACCUUAUGAAUAAGCAUCGGCUAACUCCGUGCCAGCAGCCGCGGUAAUACGGAGGAUGCGAGCGUUAUCCGGAUUUAUUGGGUUUAAAGGGAGCGCAGACGGGUCGUUAAGUCAGCUGUGAAAGUUUGGGGCUCAACCUUAAAAUUGCAGUUGAUACUGGCGUCCUUGAGUGCGGUUGAGGUGUGCGGAAUUCGUGGUGUAGCGGUGAAAUGCUUAGAUAUCACGAAGAACUCCGAUUGCGAAGGCAGCACACUAAGCCGUAACUGACGUUCAUGCUCGAAAGUGUGGGUAUCAAACAGGAUUAGAUACCCUGGUAGUCCACACGGUAAACGAUGGAUACUCGCUGUUGGCGAUAUACAGUCAGCGGCUUAGCGAAAGCGUUAAGUAUCCCACCUGGGGAGUACGCCGGCAACGGUGAAACUCAAAGGAAUUGACGGGGGCCCGCACAAGCGGAGGAACAUGUGGUUUAAUUCGAUGAUACGCGAGGAACCUUACCCGGGCUUAAAUUGCAAAGGAAUAAUCUGGAAACAGAUUAGUCUUCGGACCUUUGUGAAGGUGCUGCAUGGUUGUCGUCAGCUCGUGCCGUGAGGUGUCGGCUUAAGUGCCAUAACGAGCGCAACCCUCGCCGCCAGUUACUAACAGGUAAUGCUGAGGACUCUGGCGGGACUGCCAUCGUAAGAUGUGAGGAAGGUGGGGAUGACGUCAAAUCAGCACGGCCCUUACGUCCGGGGCUACACACGUGUUACAAUGGGCGGUACAGAAGGCAGCUACCUGGCGACAGGAUGCCAAUCCCUAAAGCCGCUCUCAGUUCGGACUGGAGUCUGCAACCCGACUCCACGAAGCUGGAUUCGCUAGUAAUCGCGCAUCAGCCACGGCGCGGUGAAUACGUUCCCG
RNAcentral lists this ribosomal RNA (1016 nucleotides) under uncultured bacterium. RNAcentral describes it as "bacterial SSU rRNA". It matches the Rfam family "Bacterial small subunit ribosomal RNA", at positions 357 to 1376 of the family's 1533-position model. The record is from RNAcentral.